RNAcentral lists this ribosomal RNA (253 nucleotides) under uncultured bacterium. Its description in RNAcentral is "partial 16S ribosomal RNA". It matches the Rfam family "Bacterial small subunit ribosomal RNA", at positions 524 to 776 of the family's 1533-position model. The record is from RNAcentral.
UACGUAGGGGGCAAGCGUUGUCCGGAAUUAUUGGGCGUAAAGAGCGCGUAGGCGGUCCGAUAAGUCGGCUGUGAAAGUCAAGGGCUCAACCCUUGGAAGCCGGCCGAUACUGUCGGACUAGAGUCCGGAAGAGGCGAGUGGAAUUCCCGGUGUAGCGGUGAAAUGCGCAGAUAUCGGGAGGAACACCAAUUGCGAAGGCAGCACUCUGGGACGGUACUGACGCUGAGACGCGAAAGCGUGGGGAGCAAACAGG